This 121-nucleotide ribosomal RNA is filed under the name Staphylococcus hominis. RNAcentral's name for it is "partial 16S ribosomal RNA". It matches the Rfam family "Bacterial small subunit ribosomal RNA", at positions 1 to 116 of the family's 1533-position model. The record is from RNAcentral. Lineage: Bacteria; Bacillati; Bacillota; Bacilli; Caryophanales; Staphylococcaceae.
UUUAUGGAGAGUUUGAUCCUGGCUCAGGAUGAACGCUGGCGGCGUGCCUAAUACAUGCAAGUCGAGCGAACAGACGAGGAGCUUGCUCCUUUGACGUUAGCGGCGGACGGGUGAGUAACAC